UGUCUCUGCAAGGCCUGCUGCCAGCCGUUAUGCAGCAACUGCAGGAUGAUGACUGCGACGUCAUGAAGGCCGCCCUGACUGUCCUCAGCAACAUCCUCUGCGUGGUAGACAGGCAGACGGCUGGCCCCAUUGCUCUGCAGCUGCUCAACAUGCUCCUGCCACUCUUUGAAAAUGCGAGCAGCUGCGUGCGAAAGCAGUCCAUCCUCCUCAGCAGAGAUGUGAUGAGGGUUUCAUUCAGGUCUCACAAAAGCAGAUGAGGAAGGAUGUGCACAGAAGCCUCCUGCCCUUGUUCUUCCACCUGCAUGACAGUGACUCAAGUGUGGCUCAGCCCAGGGAUCUCCAGGUCCUCUUUCCUGGGUAGAGGUGCCAUCUCCCUGUCUCUGCUGCUCUGAAGGCCUCCAAGGAAGCUGUCGUUGAAGCUGCCAAGUUCCUGAGGUGGCAGCAGCUCCAGAAGCUGUUGCAGACAGAGCAGAUAUGGGGGGCUGCCAAGUGCAUGCUGAAGAGAGCAGAAGGAGGUUGGAGGAGUACCUGCAUCAGAGCCUGCUGUAUCAGCAGAGCCCACAGGAGCCCUUGCGCGAGGCGGC
Melopsittacus undulatus (budgerigar) is the source of this 584-nucleotide long non-coding RNA. RefSeq lists it as uncharacterized. The record is from RefSeq and is a predicted model, not a curated record. The transcript is spliced from 4 exons. NCBI's taxonomy places the organism in Eukaryota, Metazoa, Chordata, Aves, Psittaciformes, Psittaculidae.